GUCCGGUGCUGACCCGGAUAGAGACCCGGGUGAUGUCCGGUACUGACCCGGUGACCGCAGCACGUCCUCCGGUGAGAAGCUGCUGAAGGAGCCGCAGACGCAGCGGCAGGUGGACGAAGCUCCUGCGGGGUUUGAGUCGCUUCAAGUCGGUUCAUCAGUCCGGAAGUUGUCGUGUUAGCCGCUAAGCUAACGGCAGAGGAGGGAUGCUAAGUGCUAAGCUAAGAUGCUAACAGCGCAGUGGGAGGGAUGGAGGAGCCUCAGAUGUUGUGAGGAGGAACGAUGUCGUCAGGUCCGGCUGCUCGUCCGUCUCCGUCUCCUGCGUCUCUACAUGAAACUGUUGACGACAGUGAAAACACGAGAACGAUGGAAAUGAGCCGACGGCCUGAAGGUGAGUGACUUAAAGUCGACAUGAAACGCUGAGUUGAAACAACUUCUUAUCUUUAGAUGUAACUAACGUGAAUGUUUUUACACAUGAACUCUGGAACAUUGUUCAUAUCUAAAAAAUACAAAAACAUUAUACAUAAAAACUGUAAAAGUACAACAUGACAAUGUUAGAAGGAAGUAAAAUACACACAAGAAUGAAUGGCAGUGGUCAGCGUGCAGCUGGACGACUCAACAGUGCACGUGUGAGAAAUAGU
This is a long non-coding RNA of Hippoglossus stenolepis (Pacific halibut), 638 nucleotides long. RefSeq lists it as uncharacterized. Lineage: Eukaryota; Metazoa; Chordata; Actinopteri; Pleuronectiformes; Pleuronectidae. The transcript has 3 exons. The record is from RefSeq and is a predicted model, not a curated record.